AUAGCGUAUAUUAAAGUUGUUGCAGUUAAAAAGCUCGUAGUUGAAUUUUGGACUCGGCUGUUGUGGUCGGCCGCAUAGGUCUGUACUCUUCUGGCCGGGUCUUUCCUUCUGGAAAACCGUCAUGCCAUUUAUUUGGUGUGGCGGAGAUCCAGGACUUUUACCUUGAAAAAAUUAGAGUGUUUAAAGCAGGCAUACGCUUGAAUACAUUAGCAUGGAAUAAUAGAAUAGGACUUUGGUUCUAUUUUGUUGGUUUCUAGGACCGAAGUAAUGAUUAAUAGGGACAGUUGGGGGCAUUAGUAUUUAAUUGUCAGAGGUGAAAUUCUUGGAUUAAUUGAAGACUAACUACUG
RNAcentral lists this ribosomal RNA (348 nucleotides) under uncultured eukaryote. RNAcentral's name for it is "SSU rRNA". It matches the Rfam family "Eukaryotic small subunit ribosomal RNA", at positions 594 to 945 of the family's 1831-position model. The record is from RNAcentral.